This is a long non-coding RNA of Tympanuchus pallidicinctus (lesser prairie-chicken), 3761 nucleotides long. RefSeq lists it as uncharacterized. The record is from RefSeq and is a predicted model, not a curated record. The transcript has 3 exons. Lineage: Eukaryota; Metazoa; Chordata; Aves; Galliformes; Phasianidae.
UUAAAGGUGAAAGUAAGAGUGAAGGCAUUGGAAAAGCUGUUAUUUCAGGUCUUAAAUAAUAAUGACAGCUGUUUAUUAUAUCCUACUACAUUCAGUCAAGGUUCUAUGAUAUCAAAAAGGUCUUGCACGAAACAAAAAUAUGAAAGGAGUGGGAGAAGGCAGCAAAGCUAACAGUAGACCAAUUUAAGAUUGGUAUCUUUUUGUUAAUGGUCACAAGCAUAAAUGACUCACUGCAGAGAUGACAGAGGAUUUAUAUAUUGCAAGUACAGUCAUGCUAGGUGUGAAGAUAUGCACUACAAAUGGAGAAAAGCACUUUAAACACAGAUCUCUGUUUGAAGCUGUUUUCUUCUUGGAAAGUGACUGGGAAAGCUAAUAUGAUUAUAGUGGUAUCAGCAAAGAUGGAUUAAGAGACUGAGCAAGCCCAGUUCCUUCAGUCUAUUUUCAUAGCAGAGAUGCUGAAGUCCUCUGAUCAUCUUCAUGGCCCUCCUCUGGACCCUCUCCAAAAGCUCCACAUCUUUCAAGACUUCUUGGCUAGCAACUGAAGAAAUAGCAUUUCUAUUCCAAAUUUUAUUAAAUUUCUUCAAUCACAGUGAGCAUGUAUUAAAAACUAAGUAAAUAACAUUUUUGUGCUAAAAUAACUGAAAGUUGAUAACUGUAUAGUAGCCUGGUUCUGGCAGCUUGCAAUCUUUGUUCUUUUCAUUGACAAGCAAUCACAGCUACAUUUGAUCUCAUGCUUCAGUUGGUAUAACACAAAAAGUUAUUUGUGAAAAAACAUAGCAACAUCCUCUUAUUUAAGCCCAAUCUGCUGCACCAGCUCUGCUCAGCGUUCACCUCGUUGUUAGUUCUUUUGUAAAAAAGAUGAUCUUUUAAAACAGGGUAUCUGUCAAAAUAAGAAGUCUUCCAGCUGGGGACCAGACGAGAAACUGAUUUCAUACACAAUGUAAAAUACCUACAUAUGAAUUACACACAUAGAAUAAAAAUUUGACACUAUGUGAAAUGCUGAAGUAGUGUCUGUAUAUGAAGAACAGUAAAUUACAAAAGAUGUUUAAAUGUUUAUUUCAGAAUGCCACUAAACCACAAACUCAUUUCUGAACUUCCACCUAACUAUUGGCUUUCACUGAGAAAACAAAAAGAGUGAAUAAGAACACAUUCCUUAUCAGUAAAGGACAUAUUUGAAAUGCCUGCAAAAUACUAGUAGGAUUAGGAAACUUGGGAAUGGGGCCGAGGCCACUAUUAGGCAGGAUGAGGAACUCCUUGGUGUAGAGCAGGGUGGGUUGAGCAGAGAGAAUGGAGAGCAGCCUCUUGUGUGGAUAGAUAAUGAUUUCUGGGAGCAUGAAGAAAUGGAUCUGAUUUUACUGAACCAUACAAACCUUCCUCUAGUAAAACUUCAUAUAAAUAUAUGAUGUAUGUUUGCACCUGGUCAGAAAUCUAAGUAAUCCUAGAUAGCUCUGCUUGGAAAAUAUAAAUUCACUGGGCUUAAAAAGUAAUUUGGAAAAUGUUUUCCUUCUGAGUUGGGGUAAAAAGUAAAAUAAACAAUCCUCCCUCCCAGCCCUAAACAUUACGUUUAGUUAUUCACUUCAACAGAAAGAGCCUUCUGAAAAAUCUGUUCACAGAGAGUUUUGGCUUACUAGUUGUCUCCCUUCCCAGAAAGUACAGCUUAGUUUUCUUUUCCAUAAAAGAAAUUAUUAGUCUUCAUCUGGGGUUACAAAGAAGCUAAAUGAGUAGUCUUUUUUGUCCUGCUUUUUUUUUUUGUUGAUGCCCAAUUAGGAUGGUUUGUCAUCUUUGAGUCUUUCCCCAAAGGCUGAAAUGCUGCAAGAUAUAAUAUGUAUUUGUACCUCUCUUCUCUGUAAAAAAAAAAAAGUAUAGAACUGAAAAUAACCACUGGAAAAUUCAGUUCAAUGGAAAUGACACUUUCAGUUUAAAUGAAAACAACCUUGAUGAAAAAUUGUUGGCUAGCUCACACUUCAAGUCUUCUCCAAACAUGUCACCUACUCUUUAGAUAUUUACCACUAACAUCACAUGCCUCAGAAGGAGGAAAGCUGACUUCUCUGUAAAGUUCUCAUUUUACAUUAAACUAUAUAUUGAAAUGCUGCCAUAUCCCUUGACUCAUUGGCAUGGUGAUGAUUCAAGAGCAGUAAGUUAUCAUAACAAUAACGUGGUAGCAACUUUCUGUGACAUUUGCCAGUUUAUCAUUGAAUACAUCAGGAGGGACAUGAUGCCUGUGUUAUUUUUCGUAAUUAUUUUUGAAUUGCAUUUGAUGCUUCACUCAUUAGGAUCUGAGAAUCCUGAGAUCACACAUUAAGAGGUUUCAAAGUUUUAUUAGGAAUUUUAAAAUAUCAAGUAUUUUGACCUUCUUGCAUUUCUCAACAAAAUCUUUCUCCAUACACUGCAGUGAAGGUUUCAGAAUAUUUUCCUUUCAAAACCUUUCAUAGAUUCAUACUUUCAUUGUCAUUCAAAAUAGUAUGUAUUAUUACCAUUCUAUCCAUAUGUGCACCAAAACUUUUCCUGAAAAAUACAGAAGGCCAUAGAUGCUCAUUUAAACAGAGCUUUAUGAGUUAGACUUCAGUUCAGAUAUGAGAUAAUCAUUGUUAAUAUCAACAAUUUAAUAUCAAUAUUGGAGAUGGCCAUCACCUAUACAGCAACUAGUUUCUUUGCUAGAGUACUGGAUGAAAAAACUAUCUUACCCCCUCUUCAUAACACAUAAAAAGUUUCUGCAAAAGACAAUAUUUGAAUGAGGAUAAAAAAUUCCCCAUUUAAAAUGUCAAAGAGUGUAUAUGAUAUUUUUCUCUCUUCUCUGUACCUUUUCUCUUACUGAGUUUAUCAGUAAGAAAAAAAGUGAAUUUUUAUAGGGAAAAUAUUCAGUCAAAAAGCAAUCUGUUCUCUUUUUGCUAGAGAUAAUGAAGGACAGAACUCAAAGUCAGACAAUGCACAAACAUGAAACUGGACUAAAAUGAAGAUUGGAAAAAAAUCAAGACAAGAAUUAUCAACUAAAAGAGGCCACUUCAUGGAAGUAUAGUAGAGGUUCACUCUCCGUUUUGAGAAUGGAGAUUUAGAAGGGUAAAACAUGAAGACAAACAGGCACAUAGGAACCAAUAAUAUGAUUUGUGAUUAAAGGAGGCUACUCCUCAAAAUGAAAUCAGUAACUGGGCAGAGACACAACUGAGCAUAAUGCCAGUGAUGAACUACAUCAAAGAGAGGAGCAGAGUCUCAGAAGUGCAGAAGAGUUUUGCUGUGUGUUAAUUUUUUUUAUUUUUUUAUUUUUUUUGUCCUGGAAUGACAGAGCUUUCCUUGCUUUGAGCAAAAGAAUUGUUACCAUGAAUCAUCAGCAUAUCACUAAUCAACUGUGAAAGAGAAAGAUGGAAAACUGAGACAGAUGACCCAAUACUGAAAUGAUAAACAGUCCACGCUAAACUUUCACUGCAGUAGUCUCUUCAUUCUUCAAAGUUGACUGUCUUCCUCAGUUUUGCACUUGUGAGGAGUUGGUAAUGAUAUUUUAGCCUUCAAUGUCACUUUGUGAAUAUAGCAUAACUUUGGGGAACAACAGUUCCAUAUUUUCAGUGUCUUGUCUCUCUCAUUAGGAAAUCAGAAAAUGUUCUUGUCAAUGUCUCAGGAAGAUGAUUAUGCAAUAAAAGGAAUGUAUUUAUCAAUCACAGGCAUAAACAGAUAAAUGGAGAAGAUUUUUCUUUUUUUGCUUACAAAAAAUAACACAUCUGUUAAUAUACUGUGUCUGGAAAAAUGCAUGUGUCAUCCUAUGUUUUUUU